This is a long non-coding RNA of Drosophila willistoni, 471 nucleotides long. RefSeq lists it as uncharacterized. NCBI's taxonomy places the organism in Eukaryota, Metazoa, Arthropoda, Insecta, Diptera, Drosophilidae. The record is from RefSeq and is a predicted model, not a curated record. The transcript is spliced from 2 exons.
GAUAAUAAUUGAUGUUGGUAGUCAUCGAUUGCUGCCCAGCACUAGCAACGCCAUUUUUAACUCUUACCUGGUCACUCUGCAGUGGUUCAACGUGAUUUUGUGCUUUUUUGAAGAUUGGAAAAUUACUGUCAUCCACAGCAACUUUUAAUUAUGCAAGCCAACGAAGAGAAUCCGAUCGCUUUGACGCUGGUUCAACGCAAAAUUCUUGAAGAUGUAUAUUGCUAUGGAGUGUACCGUUUGAGCCGGAAAGAGAAGCAACGUGACAACGUGCUGCGUAAAAUUCGCAUUUUGUACCAGGAUUAUUUCGGUUGUCCCGACUUCAAUGAUUUACAACAGGGCAUGUUCAUCAAAAUGGUCAAAGUGAUUUACCAGUUAAGUGAUUUGAGAAAGGUUCUUGCUGAGUUAGAAAGAAUCCUCGUCAGUAACACUUUCUAAAUAAUAAAGCAUGUGAAGUGUCACAAGAGAAACAUC